AACGAACGCUGGCGGCAUGCCUAACACAUGCAAGUCGAACGAGACCUUCGGGUCUAGUGGCGCACGGGUGCGUAACGCGUGGGAAUCUGCCCUCAGGUACGGAAUAACUCAGGGAAACUUGAGCUAAUACCGUAUAAUGACUUCGGUCCAAAGAUUUAUCGCCUGGGGAUGAGCCCGCGUCGGAUUAGCUAGUUGGUGAGGUAAAGGCUCACCAAGGCGACGAUCCGUAGCUGGUCUGAGAGGAUGAUCAGCCACACUGGGACUGAGACACGGCCCAGACUCCUACGGGAGGCAGCAGUGGGGAAUAUUGGACAAUGGGCGCAAGCCUGAUCCAGCAAUGCCGCGUGAGUGAUGAAGGCCUUAGGGUUGUAAAGCUCUUUUACCCGGGAAGAUAAUGACUGUACCGGGAGAAUAAGCCCCGGCUAACUCCGUGCCAGCAGCCGCGGUAAUACGGAGGGGCUAGCGUUGUCCGGAAUUACUGGCGUAAAGCGCACGU
This 496-nucleotide ribosomal RNA is filed under the name uncultured bacterium. RNAcentral's name for it is "bacterial SSU rRNA". It matches the Rfam family "Bacterial small subunit ribosomal RNA", at positions 28 to 572 of the family's 1533-position model. The record is from RNAcentral.